Long non-coding RNA from Oreochromis aureus, 1435 nucleotides. RefSeq lists it as uncharacterized. The record is from RefSeq and is a predicted model, not a curated record. The transcript has 3 exons. Lineage: Eukaryota; Metazoa; Chordata; Actinopteri; Cichliformes; Cichlidae.
CAGAAAACCAGACUUUCCAGCACUGACAGGAUUAACGGCCUCGCACGUCUGUGGUUGUACAGGAACCACAGACACUCACGACGCAGCCUUUCAGUGACCCGGGAAGGUAUAAACUUCUACAAAGGUGAAGAAACUGUGUCUGUGACUCUGAGAGCAGAGGUUUGGGCCGAUGCAUACAGCAGCCACGAGGCUUUGUGGUUUGUCGUUCCUGAAGAUCAUUUCAGCUCCACUACACGCCAGCAUGAGAGUGAAAAUCAAACCUAAACAGAGAUUUCAGAAAAUCCCGGCACUCCCACUUUUCCUCUGAAUGACACACCUGUGAGGAAAUUAGAUUUCACAACAAGCUGACUGUGUGCAGAAGCUCAGGCUUGCCAGAUGUCACAACCUGUGGAAUAACGGCUUUGUACGUCGGCCUUUGUACAGCAUGUUAUCUUGACUUCAUAAGAAAUCUGUAGGCGUAGAAGUUUCCAGUGACACUUGUGGACUGAAGGUUGAUGUUAUGAAACUCCGAAAGACACAAGAUCCCUUCAUCUCUACUACAUGCCAGCAUCAUGGUGAUAAUAACAAAAACAAAGGCAAACAGAUCUUCAGCUGUUGGCAGCAGUCGCCUCUCUUCCUUCUUGUUUAUCCUGAGUUGAUCCACAGUGACAAAGAUAAAACAGUUGAAGACUUUGACCAGAACAAAGUGCCAGGAAACAGGUGUUUGAUGUACUGUGUACCACGUAAAAAACGUGCUAUAUGGAUAUCAUAAAAGAUGAAUGGGUAAAUCUGUUUCUGUGUUCUUCUUCAGUGUCUGUGUCAUGGUUCUGGGUCAUUUGAUCCAGCUAUUUGAGUUUAUUGCACUUUUAUGAUUCCUGAGCUGUUAUAAUUCAGUUUUCCCUCCCUCUUUACCCUCUGUGGGUCGUUGUGUUUCGUCUCCCUUUUCUGUGUACAUGUUCCAUUUGACAUCUCCAUGUCUCCACUGUCUGUCGUGUGUGUCCAUGUAUGUUCUCCCCAACCCGUCAUGUAUCACUCUCUCUUUCGCAGUGUCCCUGUGUCUCUUCUCUCUUAACUGUCCCUGUGUUCCCCCAUGUUGUGUUUCAUCUUUCUGCCUCCUCAGUCCAUCUUGUCCCCAUGUUAGUUUCUUUCGUCCAGCCCGUGUCAAGCCAUAUUUCUUAGUCUGCUUCUUAGUUUGUUUCCUUUUUAAUUUUGACAGUCUCACGUCCGGUGUUCAGUGUGUUCAGUUUUGUUUCCUCCUGUCUUGUCGCACCUAAUUCCUUCCUGCUGUGUUCUGCAUGUGUUUCCACUUCCCUCAUAUAUAUAUAUUGUAUAUUGUAUUUUAUUGUAUGUGUAUAUAUUGUGUCUGUUUUCCCUUUGUCCCUCCUCAGGUCAUCUGUAUCUCUUGUCAAUAUUUCAGGGUUUCAGUUUUAGGUUUUUCUCAGUGUUAGAAACCCUA